GGAAUGAGCUCUCGGUCUAUUAACUUGUUGGUAGGGGUACGGGCUACCAAGGGAAAGAUGGUUAGCCGGUCUGAAAGGGUUGUCGGUCACACUGGACUGCGACACGGCCAACUCCUACGGAGCCAGAGUGGGGAAUUGCGCAAUGGGCGAAAGCCUGACGCAGGAUCCGGGUGAGGAUGAAGGUCCCGGAUGUAACUCCGUGUCAAGUGGAGAAGCCUUAUGGUUCUGACGGGAACCUGGAGAUGCCCGCAGUUAACUACGUGCCACCACCGCGGUAAUCGUAGGGGGCAGCGGUGCUCGGAUUACCUCGGGCUUCAAUGGGUGCGCAGGUGUCUGUAGAGCAGUCGUGGAUGAUCUCCCGGGAGCUUACCCCCGGAACUGUGCUUCAAUAGUUCUCAGCUUUAGGAUACUCGAGGAAAGCGGAAUUCCCGGUGGAGCGGUGAGAUGCGUAGAUAUCGGUAGGAACACCAGAGGCGAAGGCGGUUCUCUAGGCUGAUCCGGACCUUGAGGUACGAUAGCUAGGGGAGCGAACGGGAUCAGAUACGCCGGUAUUCCUAGCUGUUACCGAUGGGCACUUGAUGUUUCCGGGUCUCAGCGGGAGUGUCGAAGUUAGCGCGAUAA
Molecule: ribosomal RNA, 621 nt
Filed under: uncultured organism
Description: bacterial SSU rRNA
Rfam family: Bacterial small subunit ribosomal RNA
Source: RNAcentral